Long non-coding RNA from Limulus polyphemus (Atlantic horseshoe crab), 2841 nucleotides. RefSeq lists it as uncharacterized. The transcript has 2 exons. Lineage: Eukaryota; Metazoa; Arthropoda; Merostomata; Xiphosura; Limulidae. The record is from RefSeq and is a predicted model, not a curated record.
CUCCAUACUCGUAUCUAGAGGUGACUAUUGGAAAGCCGACGAACUACUGGGAUAGCUCUAUGGAGAAGAUACAAAAAGUUGUGAAGAGAAAACUCAUAUCUGAGUAGCUAGCUAGUGCAAAACUCCGAGCAUGCAAAAUACUGAUCGGAAGAGAUCUUAAGGGAAAGUUUGCAUUCAGGGGCCUGACCGUUGGGGGGGGGGGUUCUAGCUGGACAAGAAAUCUAGCCGCUUGUGGAGACAGUCUUCGUGCGAUGUACCAUGUAGCGGUAAAGCGACCCAGUCGUCUUCAGGCUAGCUUGAACAAACAGAACUGGUACCAGCGGCUUGAAUUGGGCGAAGUACGUGACAGACGUGCAACGUCGAGUACGUAUACUUCGCCGAAGAGUGUGUUUUUCAUAAACUGGAUGUUUCGAAUACAAGUGAAAGAUCAGUAUCAGUUAUAUAAUAUUGAACUAGAUUGAUUUUAAACUGACAAAGACGACAGUAAUGAUUGGGAGGUGUGCAUUAUAUUCAGGUAGGUGAACCGUACACAGACUGCAGAUACCCACUACAAGAAAAUCACUGCUCUCUGUAGAUUCUGGUACGCCGCAAUCAUAGGGUACAUGUUUCAAGAUUAAAUAAACUGUUUCACAUAAAAAGACAUCAGAAGGCUGUCUUAUAUGCUAAGCAUCCAUUGAGGUGGAUCCCGCUCACAACUAGGCACAAAAUAAUUUGUCUGCAAUGGUUGAAUUAACACGUCCUGUGGACCAACGACAUGCAGAACAGUAUUCUUUGUCUAGUCACGUCUCACCCUGCUUUGUAGAGAGUAUAGAACCAGAUCCAAUUCCAUUUUCAUACAAGAAUAAACGCUGGUAAACACACGAACCUGUACAUCUUACGGAAUGGUACCAUUAACCUUACACGUUAAUAUUACCACAACCUACGACCCUUCAUUCCUAUCGUCCCACUCUGUCAGCUGAAUCCAGACGCUGAAGAUAUCCUGGAAAUAGCUCUUUUCGAAGAGUGGUCGAGAGUACCUGAGAACUUUUAUGUAACGCUUUGAUUUUGAGUAUGCAAUAUCAUCUUUACCGGACCGCCUUUGCUGUCCGUAAUGACCAUAGUCCAUAACGAAGUGAAAGGUCACGGAAUGCAAAGCUGUUAAGUCAGCUAUGUCAAACGUUUAUUUACGAGGGAAAAAGAUCAAUAAUUUAGACUUCAGAUCACAGUUGACUAUCAGGCGCUUGAUUAUAAUCAAAAUGAACUAAAGCUAUAGAACUACAAUAUUAAAUUAUCCUUUGAUUGUGCUCUGUAAUGUGUAUCUGUUUUCGCACCACUACAUUCUUUUAUUACAAAUAUCACUGAUACCUAUGUAUCACCACAGUGAAUCUAUGUUUAUAUAGGGUUUGAAGAAUGUGUAUUGAUGCUACUAGCUCGUUAUUGCAAUCAUUCAACAGACAAGCUAUUUAAGAUAUUAAAAAAGAAUAUAAGCCCAAUAAAUAUGAAGACGGCUAUAAUAUACAGUUCACCACUAUAAAAAGCCCAGUCUUGUUUGUUUUUUUCGAAUUGCUCUUGUCUAGGAUCACGGUUUACUGAUGACGGGUGGAAUUUUUCGAAACUAGUAUAAUUCAAUAACGAGUGGUGAUUCGAACAUCAGAUUAUGAUUCAUGUUUGUUUUUAAUAACUAAUACUUUACUUCUAUAAAAUGAUCAUGGAAUGAAAAGAGAAACAAAUAUCAUAUAUCUAACAUAACUAUGUCGGUGGUUUUAGAUUUUUUUUAUUUUCGUUCCUUUCAUUUUCAGAUAGCUCAAGAGAUUCAGAUUUGUUCCUCUUUAAAGAGUCAGUGGUCAACCGAGAUAAGUUAUACAGAGGUCGAGUACGUUAUAUUAAUACGAUUUUGGUGCCAUAUUCGAAGUACACCACUUCUCCCUGCAAGUUUUCCUACAGACCAUCUAGUGUACGAAAGCGCUCGUUUCAAGAGUCCAAUGAUAUAGAAAUCCCUAGGCGUUGCUUCCGACGACUUGGCCAGUAUAUCUUCUUAUGAAUUAAUAUGAAUACCUAUUUCAUUUUCCAUCUGUUUAAGGUAUGCAACGGUUGAAUGGAUAUGUCGUGAAAUCAGUUUGUGUACACAUGACGAAGAUCUUUAUUAUGAUGUGUUCUGUUGCCUGAGGUAUUUGGAUGAUUUUUGCCACUGAUCUUUGUUUGUGUUCGUGGAUUAUCAGUUGUUACAAGAUCCCGUACUUUGCUUGCCGCGGCUGGGUUCGACUUGUUUGCAGGUCUCAAUCUGGAAAGUCUUAAGGGCCUAAGGUGAUUACAUCUCAGAAAUUCUAAACAUUAGGUCUGAACAAAUCUUUAUUAUCUGAGUGUAAGAAUAUUUCUGCAUUUGAAAGGGCUGUUACAUACCCUUCCCAAAAGCAAUCAGUUUUCGGUGGAAUUACACUUUCUAUGAAAUGCUAAACAUUGUCAAACUGUGGUUCUGAUACAUACUGUUCCAUCUGUUGUGAUUAUCAAAUAACUUACAUCCUAAAAGUUGUCUUAACAUAACAUACUUAACCUCUGUAGACGUAAUUCUCCAAAGGGUAGAAUUUCUUAUUUAGAAAGGAAAUCUUUAACUUCAUUUUUCAAAUUAUUAAUGUUUUACUUUUGAGGUUUAUAAAAUAUUUGCCCUCAUGACGCUUCUUUUAGCAUAUGUUUGCUGGUAUGUUGGAAUUGCUACAUUUACACAUGUUUUGCUGGUCAAAUUAAACCUUGUUGAUCUCUCUGUACAUGUAGUCUUAAUGAUUUUAAAAGUCAGUAUGGAAUGGUAUAUAAAGUGUAACCACAAAGAUUUGUACCACUUUGAGUAAUAAAGUAUCGGUUUCGUCA